UGAAAUGCUGUUUCCCAUAUGAUCACUGAAGUUAAGCAAAAUUGAGUCUGAUCAGUACCUAGAUGGGUGACCACUUGGGAAUACUAGAUACUGUAAG
This 97-nucleotide ribosomal RNA is filed under the name Acanthosepion pharaonis. The record is from RNAcentral. Lineage: Eukaryota; Metazoa; Mollusca; Cephalopoda; Sepiida; Sepiidae.